CGAGCGCUUCACUUCGGUGAGGAGCGGCGGACGGGUUAGUAACGCGUGGGAACAUACCCUUUUCUAAGGAAUAGCCACUGGAAACGGUGAGUAAUACCUUAUACGCCCCUCGGGGGAAAGAUUUAUCGGUGAAGGAUUGGCCCGCGUUAGAUUAGAUAGUUGGUGGGGUAACGGCCUACCAAGUCGACGAUCUAUAGCUGGUUUGAGAGGAUGAUCAGCAGCACUGGGACUGAGACACGGCCCAG
Molecule: ribosomal RNA, 245 nt
Filed under: uncultured bacterium
Lineage: Bacteria
Description: partial 16S ribosomal RNA
Rfam family: Bacterial small subunit ribosomal RNA
Source: RNAcentral